RNAcentral lists this ribosomal RNA (201 nucleotides) under Firmicutes bacterium OM04-13BH. RNAcentral describes it as "partial 16S ribosomal RNA". It matches the Rfam family "Bacterial small subunit ribosomal RNA", at positions 1 to 182 of the family's 1533-position model. Lineage: Bacteria; Bacillati; Bacillota. The record is from RNAcentral.
UAUAUCAGAGAGUUUGAUCCUGGCUCAGGAUGAACGCUGGCGGCGUGCUUAACACAUGCAAGUCGAGCGAAGCGCUUACGACAGAACCUUCGGGGGAAGAUGUAAGGGACUGAGCGGCGGACGGGUGAGUAACGCGUGGGUAACCUGCCUCAUACAGGGGGAUAACAGUUGGAAACGGCUGCUAAUACCGCAUAAGCGCAC